UACGUAGGGUGCUAGCGUUGUCCGGAAUCAUUGGGCGUAAAGAGCGUGUAGGCGGCCCGGUAAGUCCGCUGUAAAAGUCAAAGGCUCAACCUUUGAAUGUCAGUGGAUACUGCCGGGCUAGAGUCCGGAAGAGGCGAGUGGAACUCCUGGUGUAGCGGUGUAAUGCGCAGAUAUCAGGAAGAACACCAACGGCGAAGGCAGCUCGCUGGGACGGUACUGACGCUGAGACGCGAAAGCCAGGGGAGCAAACGGG
RNAcentral lists this ribosomal RNA (253 nucleotides) under uncultured bacterium. RNAcentral describes it as "partial 16S ribosomal RNA". It matches the Rfam family "Bacterial small subunit ribosomal RNA", at positions 524 to 776 of the family's 1533-position model. The record is from RNAcentral.